CUGCGGAAGGAUCAUUAAGAAAAUUACUUAUAUUCUUUAGGAUUGAAACUACCCAAAACCACAUUUUAUUUUAUUCAACCCAAGUUUUCUUUAAAACUUUCAACAACGGAUCUCUUGGUUCUCGUAUCGAUGAAGAACGUAGCGAAUUACGAUAAGUAUCAUGAGUUGCAGACGUGAAUCAUUAAUUUUUGAACGCACAUUGCACUUGAUCCAGCAUCAAGUAUGGGGGAGUGAGAGAGUAUUUCUUCGGCCACCUCCUUUUGGUUUGGGUGCCGGCUUAUACCUCAAAUAAAUUUACUUUUUUUCCUCACUGUCCCAAGACUACCCGCUGAACUUAAGCAUAUCAAUAAGCGGAGGAAAAGAAACCAACAGGGAUUACCUUAGUAACGGCGAGUGAAGCGGUAAAAGCUCAAAUUUGAAAUCUUCGGAAUUGUAAUUUGAUGGAUAAAAUUGCCACGGACAAAAGUUCACUGGAAAGUGACGCCGUAGAGGGUGAUAGCCCCGUUUACGUCCACCGGCACUAUAAUUUUAUUCCAAAGAGUCGGGUUGUUUGGGAAUGCAGCUCAAAGUGGGUGGUAAAUUCCAUCUAAAGCUAAAUAUUGACGAGAGACCGAUAGCGAACAAGUACAGUGAUGGAAAGAUGAAAAGAACUUUGAAAAGAGAGUGAAACAGUACGUGAAAUUGUUGAAAGGGAAGGGGAGGGAAGAUGUUAAAGGGACUCCUUCUUUAGUAGGGAUCCCCCCAAGAGUCUUUCCUCUCGCCCGUCUU
RNAcentral lists this ribosomal RNA (768 nucleotides) under fungal sp. AM0289. RNAcentral describes it as "eukaryotic LSU rRNA". The stretch from base 302 to 768 matches the Rfam family "Eukaryotic large subunit ribosomal RNA", at positions 1 to 655 of the family's 3401-position model. Lineage: Eukaryota; Fungi. The record is from RNAcentral.